Molecule: ribosomal RNA, 468 nt
Filed under: uncultured bacterium
Lineage: Bacteria
Description: partial 16S ribosomal RNA
Rfam family: Bacterial small subunit ribosomal RNA
Source: RNAcentral
GACGAACGCUGGCGGCGUGCUUAACACAUGCCAGUCGAACGGAAAGGCCCUGCUUUUGUGGGGUGCUCGAGUGGCGAACGGGUGAGUAACACGUGAGUAACCUGCCCUUGACUUUGGGAUAACUUCAGGAAACUGGGGCUAAUACCGGAUAGGAGCUCCUGCUGCAUGGUGGGGGUUGGAAAGUUUCGGCGGUUGGGGAUGGACUCGCGGCUUAUCAGCUUGUUGGUGGGGUAGUGGCUUACCAAGGCUUUGACGGGUAGCCGGCCUGAGAGGGUGACCGGCCACAUUGGGACUGAGAUACGGCCCAGACUCCUACGGGAGGCAGCAGUGGGGAAUAUUGCACAAUGGGCGGAAGCCUGAUGCAGCAACGCCGCGUGCGGGAUGACGGCCUUCGGGUUGUAAAACGCUUUCGCCUGUGACGAAGCGUGAGUGACGGUAAUGGGUAAAGAAGCACCGGCUAACUACGUG